GACGUAGGGGGCCAGCGUUGCUCGGAAUUACUGGGCGUAAAGGGUUCGUAGGCGGUGCGGCAAGUUGGGAGUGAAAUCUCUGGGCUUAACCCAGAGGCUGCUUCCAAAACUGCCGUGCUAGAGUGCGAGAGAGGCCAGUGGAAUUGCAGGUGUAGCGGUGAAAUGCGUAGAUAUCUGCAGGAACACCGGUGGCGAAGGCGCCACUCUGGGCCGGUACUGACGCUGAGGAGCGAAAGCGUGGGGAGCGAACAGU
Molecule: ribosomal RNA, 253 nt
Filed under: uncultured bacterium
Lineage: Bacteria
Description: partial 16S ribosomal RNA
Rfam family: Bacterial small subunit ribosomal RNA
Source: RNAcentral